UACGCAUAUGGGUGAGCAGGAGGGUGAGUGUGAGCAAGCAUUCUCAAUGUGACAACCUCGUCCAUUAUUUAGUGACUGGUAGCCAACACUUUCUGCCUUUUUGCUAUCUUGGUUAUGAAGUAAUAUUUUCUACCGUGUUGUCCACCUUUAGAUGGUCUGCAUUGCAACAACACGGGGCGCAGUGUCAAAGAUGCGUUUUUUGUAGUCCAUCUUCAUAACAUUGUAGUUUCAUCACGGCAGGUAACGUCAGUAACAUCCGCCGUCACAUAAUUACGUCGCCUAGAAAAGAGCAGUCGGAUUCUCUUAGACCCGUCGUCCUCUUUUCCAAAGUCCUUACGGAUUCUCCUUCACAUCUCUUGACCUCGAUGGAAAACGUCAUGAGGUCAAGGAAAGGUGGUCAGGAAAGGAGAUUUUUGUGACUUUUCAGAUGCAGCCUAUGUCUCCUCCUUACCAUAGACUGUAGCCCACAUAAAAAAUACAGGCCUUAAAGCAGCGCUAUUUUGACCCUCGGCGCAUCCACUAAUCUCUCUACAGUGUGCGCUCACUUUAGCGCCAGACCACAUCGAGGAAGAACAGAGAGAAGCGGGCUAAGACGCAGUUGGAAAAACGAGAUCACACGGGCCCAGAAGGGGGAGUCCUAAGUGUAAAAACACCAUCACUCAGGAUUUUUGAAUGCCGCCAUUUGCCAAAGGAGUUUUUUCCCCCUGGAAACUCCGCCUGGAUUGUAGCUUAGUGGUGAACUCUUCACUGGAUGCAGAUGGUGAGCCAGUCCCAGAGAUGAUUCACCCUGUAUGAUGAGAUCGGACCGCAGUGUGGCCAGCUGCUUCGGAUCCCAUUCAACAGGACUGACACAUCAGAUUACAGGACACUGGCAGAUAAGAAAGAUCUACCACAAAUUCAUUACCCUUCCUGGGCAGAGAUACAAAUAACUGAAAGACAUUGUAUACUUUUUAAAAUUGUAUUUUUUAUGAAAGAGCUCUUCUUAUUCUGGGGAUUGUUUCAAACAUGGUUGGUGCACUACCUGCCUACUGUUCUUUAAUCACACAGUCUAUUUCUUACCCCUAAACUACUCCUCAGAACAUAGUUUGGUAAGUUAGCAGAAGUGAUACACUAGUGUUAAAUAUUUUACACCUGUCUUUAGUAUUCAAAAACUAUGCUACAGGGCUUUCUCCAGUACGUUGAAGUAUGACGCUAAGGGGCUCCCAAGUGUGUUAUAAAGUGACAUCAAGGAGUCUUGACCAUUAGUCCGUAUGUGACGACAUGGGAGUGAGAACGGGUUAGAUUUGUAAAUGGUUAAUUUAUUAUCAACAAUUGUACAGUUUAUGCAGCAAUGGUUUAUGAAAGAAGGGCUGAAAGACAUUUUGUAAUAAAUAAUAAGUUCUGUAUCCCA
Long non-coding RNA from Micropterus dolomieu (smallmouth bass), 1390 nucleotides. RefSeq lists it as uncharacterized. The record is from RefSeq and is a predicted model, not a curated record. NCBI's taxonomy places the organism in Eukaryota, Metazoa, Chordata, Actinopteri, Centrarchiformes, Centrarchidae. The transcript is spliced from 2 exons.